CGAACGAUGAAACCCUUCGGGGUGGAUUACUGGCGAACGGGUGAGUAACACGUGGGCAAUCUGCCCUUCACUCUCUUAUAACCCCUGGAAACGGGGUCUAAUACCGGAUAACACUUCUUCGGGCAUCUGAAGAGGUUAAAAGCUCCGGCGGUGAAGGAUGAGCCCGCGGCCUAUCAGCUUGUUGGUGGGGUAAUGGCCUACCAAGGCGACGACGGGUAGCCGGCCUGAGAGGGCGACCGGCCACACUGGGACUGAGACACGGCCCAGACUCCUACGGGAGGCAGCAGUGGGGAAUAUUGCACAAUGGGCGAAAGCCUGAUGCAGCGACGCCGCGUGAGGGAUGACGGCCUUCGGGUUGUAAACCUCUUUCAGCAGGGAAGAAGCGAAAGUGACGGUACCUGCAGAAGAAGCGCCGGCUAACUACGUGCCAGCAGCCGCGGUAAUACGUAGGGCGCAAGCGUUGUCCGGAAUUAUUGGGCGUAAAGAGCUCGUAGGCGGCUUGUCGCGUCGGAUGUGAAAGCCCGGGGCUUAACCCCGGGUCUGCAUUCGAUACGGGCAGGCUAGAGUGUGGUAGGGGAGAUCGGAAUUCCUGGUGUAGCGGUGAAAUGCGCAGAUAUCAGGAGGAACACCGGUGGCGAAGGCGGAUCUCUGGGCCAUUACUGACGCUGAGGAGCGAAAGCGUGGGGAGCGAACAGGAUUAGAUACCCUGGGUAGUCCACGCCGUAAACGUUGGGAACUAGGUGUUGGCGACAUUCCACGUCGUCGGUGCCGCAGCUAACGCAUUAAGUUCCCCGCCUGGGGAGUACGGCCGCAAGGCUAAAACUCAAAGGAAUUGACGGGGGCCCGGACAAGCAGCGGAGCAUGUGGCUUAAUUCGACGCAAC
RNAcentral lists this ribosomal RNA (883 nucleotides) under Streptomyces sp. T7. Its description in RNAcentral is "bacterial SSU rRNA". It matches the Rfam family "Bacterial small subunit ribosomal RNA", at positions 63 to 960 of the family's 1533-position model. The record is from RNAcentral. Lineage: Bacteria; Bacillati; Actinomycetota; Actinomycetes; Kitasatosporales; Streptomycetaceae.